This 2132-nucleotide long non-coding RNA is filed under the name Xyrichtys novacula (pearly razorfish). The record is from RNAcentral. Lineage: Eukaryota; Metazoa; Chordata; Actinopteri; Labriformes; Labridae.
CCUCCUCUCUGUUUCUGUCUUUGGUGGGUGUCUCUCAUGUUUGAGUCGGUGGGUCAGAGCCUUCCUGAUGUCUUCAUGUGUGUGUGUGGUGGUGUGUGUGUUGUUGUGGUGGGUGCAGGUGCUGAAACGUUGUGCAGUGAGCGUGCUUUAAUGAGCAGGGCCAUCCCUCCCUCACACACACACACACACAUACACACACACACGCACACACACACACACACACACACACACGGUCAGGUGAUCACAGAGCUGAAGGUGUGAAGUGGAGCUGGUUUAGGAAGAAUCUGAUCUCAUGUUUUAUCAUCAGGGGGGAGGGUCCAAAGAUUUGUGACAAUCAGCCAAUCAGGUCGGCCCGUUUCACACCCUUUAAAACUACCCCCCCCCCCAGUUAAUGAUGCACUGACAGCUGGCAGAGCGAGAGUCCAGAUGUGCUCCUGAGCGUGUGCUGACAUCCUGAUAGAGAGGAGAGUCUGUCACAGUGAACAAGCUGCACAUUAAACACACACACACACACACACACACACACACACACACACACACACACACACACACACACACACACACACACACGUAUAACCCCUUUAUUCUGCCUGGACUCCCCGGUCAUGCUCACACACAGUGAUGAUUUAACUUUAAAUGUUUGCAGGCGGCUCUGUGUCGAAUCAGGAUAAUCUGAGAACUUCCUGUUUGACAGUUUGAGUGUUUGAUGAAUGGCGUGAAUGUUGGCGAGGUCGUCUUUGUUUCAGAUGAGGAUUAAAGGGAUAUUCUGGUGUAAAAUUAAUUUAUGGUCAAACCCACCGUAACACCGAGUUAGACCCCGCCUCCAGAGAUGAAUGUUGCCGACCACUUGCUUCUCUAGUUAUACCAACUUUAGUAACGACCUCAGGAUAGUAAUACAGAGAGACACGCCCUCAACCAAAACGCCACUCUAUAGCCACAAAUAAUGCUCAGAACAGCACCUAACUUCAUUAACAGGACAUAUAGGGUCACAGACAGAGUACUAUAUUCAGAGUUGUUCUAACUCCUAAGAAAACAAACUUAAGCGGGGGCGUUUCUCCACCUCUGUAGUCUAUAAGCUGGGCCAAUAAACUUCUACUGUAGUAAAAUGAAAAGGUAAAGGUGUUUUUAUUGAGCCGAAUUAUCAAUAAAAUCAUGAUUUUGUUAACAGGUAUGGAUUUAUGUGCUGUUGAGUUAAUAUAUUUGAACAAGAGCACAGUAAAGUUAAAUCAGCUAAUUUUCCAAUGAGGUUCUGUUACUAAACUGAACUACACCAUGUUCUACUGAGGUUAGUACAUAUAGGGUCACAGCCAUAGUACUAGACACCAAACAUCUUUUUAACUUUGACUCAUUUCUUUAGUAAAGAGACUAAACACAACUCACCUACUCUCUUCCAGCAGACGUUUGUUUGUAGAGAGACCUCAGGCCAGUCUAUUAUGGACUACAGCGGGGUGCCGCAGCUCAAGGAAGAACAUUCACGAUCAUUUCUUUAUGGAAAUACAAUCAGACCGAGACGCUAAGACAGAAGAACUACCGCGUCUGUAAAAUGAUUAAUAUGGUGAUUAUUACUUCAAGGAAAUGAUGAAGAAAUGAUCAUAAAUGUUCUUCCUUGAGCUGCGACACCCCGCUGUAGUCUGUAAUGGACUGCAGUCGUUACUAAAGUUGAUAUAACUAGAGAAGCAAGCGGUCGGCAACAUUCAUCUCUGGAGGGGGGUCUAACUCGGUGUUACGGUGUGUUUGACCCUAACUUAAUUUUACAACUGAAUAUCCCUUUAAAUGUUGAAGUGUGUCGGUUUGUGGGUGAUUAUUUUCAAAAAGUGGUUUAGAAAAUUAACAUUUUUGUUUUGAGAUAAGUGUCUAAAAGACUUGAAUGAUUCUUCCUGUGAACAGUUUCAUUUCUAAGUGUUGUAUCGGUGUAUUUUUAAUCAAGUUUCUCUUUGUCUCAGUUCAUGGCUGUUCCGAUGUUGUCCUCCUUCUUCUUGAUGGAAAGUUUGGCAGAAAUCAGUGUAAAAUAAAAAAAAGAAAUGAUCAUAUUUAAACAUGAAAACUGUAGAAAAUAUUCUAUGUAAAAAAGAUGUAUAUGUGAGAUAUCCUUGUGAAUAAUAAAAUUUAGUCCAUUUAUAAUGAUGUCACUA